Molecule: long non-coding RNA, 344 nt
Organism: Macrobrachium nipponense
Lineage: Eukaryota; Metazoa; Arthropoda; Malacostraca; Decapoda; Palaemonidae
Exons: 3
Source: RefSeq, a predicted model, not a curated record
UUUGUCAGUGUCAACAGCUGCAUCGUCAAGGAUGGGCUGAGAUUCCAGAAGUUAUGGCAUCAUCUCUAAUGGCUAUCUUAGGUUUGGGACUUGCCUAUGGUGCCUGUAAAAUGUACGACAGUAAAAAUGGAGAUGUGAAACGAUAUCGUAUGGAGUACACAGUAUAUCGUCCUGAGGAUCCUCGUGCCCAGAAGAUCAAGGAAUGAAGGCCAGUUCUUUCUUAGUGUGUUUCAUUUCUUAAAAAUGUAGUGUGUUUGCCAUUUAUGAACAUCAUUGAUACCAUUCCUUGUAUCUAUGUACAUUAUUAUAUGAAAAGAAUAUUUAUAUAAAGUUUCUUGAUCACU